RNAcentral lists this ribosomal RNA (253 nucleotides) under uncultured bacterium. Its description in RNAcentral is "partial 16S ribosomal RNA". It matches the Rfam family "Bacterial small subunit ribosomal RNA", at positions 524 to 776 of the family's 1533-position model. The record is from RNAcentral.
GACGAACCGUGCAAACGUUGUUCGGAAUCACUGGGCUUAAAGGGCGCGUAGGCGGCCUCGCCAGUCUGUGGUGAAAGCCCCCGGCUCAACCGGGGAAGUGCCGUGGAUACUGCGAGUCUGGAGGAGGGUAGGGGCAUCUGGAACGCUGGGUGGAGCGGUGAAAUGCGUUGAUAUCCAGCGGAACUCCGGUGGCGAAGGCGAGGUGCUGGACCCUUUCUGACGCUGAUGCGCGAAAGCCAGGGGAGCAAACGGG